ACAGAGGACAAUGAUCAAUGAUUGAAGUUAAACCAAAUGAAGGGAUUAUUGCUGGAAUUGACCUAGGAUUAUGCCUAUGGAGUUACCAGGUUGUAACACUUGGAGGCGGAACCCAGUGAAAUGAGGCUUUGGAGGAUUUAACCAAUGGAUUCUUAUCUCACUCCAAGAAAAAUGAGACAUUUUUCAUUUUCUUCUUUAUGGUGUUAAAUAAAAUCACCUAAGAAAGCAAACUCUAGGAAGAAAGAAGUAUGUGGAGAAAGACGGAACACAGUGUAUUAGUUUAUGUCUUAAGGUUUCAAAGCUUUUCGUUUUACUUUAAGAUAGAUGAAUGAUAUAAGAGUGGCCAUUUUUGUCCGAAGCAGAGAUUUCUAACUUCUCAAAGUAAGACGAAGGAGGUUUUCUCAACGGGUAACAAAUACAUGCACAUUAAUAAAAAAUAACAGUUUCU
RNAcentral lists this long non-coding RNA (448 nucleotides) under Mustela putorius furo (domestic ferret). RNAcentral's name for it is "lncRNA (ENSMPUG00000031070.1)". Lineage: Eukaryota; Metazoa; Chordata; Mammalia; Carnivora; Mustelidae. The record is from RNAcentral.